RNAcentral lists this ribosomal RNA (3011 nucleotides) under Salmonella enterica subsp. enterica serovar Typhimurium. Its description in RNAcentral is "23S ribosomal RNA". It matches the Rfam family "Bacterial large subunit ribosomal RNA". Lineage: Bacteria; Pseudomonadati; Pseudomonadota; Gammaproteobacteria; Enterobacterales; Enterobacteriaceae. The record is from RNAcentral.
GGGUUGUGAGGUUAAGCGACUAAGCGUACACGGUGGAUGCCCUGGCAGUCAGAGGCGAUGAAGGACGUGCUAAUCUGCGAUAAGCGCCGGUAAGGUGAUAUGAACCGUUAUAACCGGCGAUUUCCGAAUGGGGAAACCCAGUGUGAUUCGUCACACUAUCAUUAACUGAAUCCAUAGGUUAAUGAGGCGAACCGGGGGAACUGAAACAUCUAAGUACCCCGAGGAAAAGAAAUCAACCGAGAUUCCCCCAGUAGCGGCGAGCGAACGGGGAGGAGCCCAGAGCCUGAAUCAGCAUGUGUGUUAGUGGAAGCGUCUGGAAAGGCGCGCGAUACAGGGUGACAGCCCCGUACACAAAAGCGCAUGUGCUGUGAGCUCGAUGAGUAGGGCGGGACACGUGGUAUCCUGUCUGAAUAUGGGGGGACCAUCCUCCAAGGCUAAAUACUCCUGACUGACCGAUAGUGAACCAGUACCGUGAGGGAAAGGCGAAAAGAACCCCGGCGAGGGGAGUGAAAAAGAACCUGAAACCGUGUACGUACAAGCAGUGGGAGCACCCUUCGGGGUGUGACUGCGUACCUUUUGUAUAAUGGGUCAGCGACUUAUAUUCUGUAGCAAGGUUAACCGUAUAGGGGAGCCGGAGGGAAACCGAGUCUUAACCGGGCGUUAAGUUGCAGGGUAUAGACCCGAAACCCGGUGAUCUAGCCAUGGGCAGGUUGAAGGUUGGGUAACACUAACUGGAGGACCGAACCGACUAAUGUUGAAAAAUUAGCGGAUGACCUGUGGCUGGGGGUGAAAGGCCAAUCAAACCGGGAGAUAGCUGGUUCUCCCCGAAAGCUAUUUAGGUAGCGCCUCGUGAAUUCAUCUCCGGGGGUAGAGCACUGUUUCGGCUAGGGGGCCAUCCCGGCUUACCAACCCGAUGCAAACUGCGAAUACCGGAGAAUGUUAUCACGGGAGACACACGGCGGGUGCUAACGUCCGUCGUGAAGAGGGAAACAACCCAGACCGCCAGCUAAGGUCCCAAAGUCAUGGUUAAGUGGGAAACGAUGUGGGAAGGCCCAGACAGCCAGGAUGUUGGCUUAGAAGCAGCCAUCAUUUAAAGAAAGCGUAAUAGCUCACUGGUCGAGUCGGCCUGCGCGGAAGAUGUAACGGGGCUAAACCAUGCACCGAAGCUGCGGCAGCGAACGUAUCACCCAAGACAACUUUACGGAGUUGACGAUUGACGGAGCGAAGCGACGUCAAAGCGUUCAUUAAAGUCGAGUUGGCUUAGGGAUACGUUCGUUGGGUAGGGGAGCGUUCUGUAAGCCUGUGAAGGUGUGUCGUGAGGCAUGCUGGAGGUAUCAGAAGUGCGAAUGCUGACAUAAGUAACGAUAAAGCGGGUGAAAAGCCCGCUCGCCGGAAGACCAAGGGUUCCUGUCCAACGUUAAUCGGGGCAGGGUGAGUCGACCCCUAAGGCGAGGCCGAAAGGCGUAGUCGAUGGGAAACGGGUUAAUAUUCCCGUACUUGGUGUUACUGCGAAGGGGGGACGGAGAAGGCUAUGUUGGCCGGGCGACGGUUGUCCCGGUUUAAGCGUGUAGGUGUGUGUUCCAGGUAAAUCCGGUUCACUUUAACACUGAGGCGUGACGACGAGGCACUACGGUGCUGAAGCAACAAAUGCCCUGCUUCCAGGAAAAGCCUCUAAGCAUCAGGUAACACGAAAUCGUACCCCAAACCGACACAGGUGGUCAGGUAGAGAAUACCAAGGCGCUUGAGAGAACUCGGGUGAAGGAACUAGGCAAAAUGGUGCCGUAACUUCGGGAGAAGGCACGCUGACACGUAGGUGAAGUGAUUUACUCAUGGAGCUGAAGUCAGUCGAAGAUACCAGCUGGCUGCAACUGUUUAUUAAAAACACAGCACUGUGCAAACACGAAAGUGGACGUAUACGGUGUGACGCCUGCCCGGUGCCGGAAGGUUAAUUGAUGGGGUCAGCGUAAGCGAAGCUCCUGAUCGAAGCCCCGGUAAACGGCGGCCGUAACUAUAACGGUCCUAAGGUAGCGAAAUUCCUUGUCGGGUAAGUUCCGACCUGCACGAAUGGCGUAAUGAUGGCCAGGCUGUCUCCACCCGAGACUCAGUGAAAUUGAACUCGCUGUGAAGAUGCAGUGUACCCGCGGCAAGACGGAAAGACCCCGUGAACCUUUACUAUAGCUUGACACUGAACAUUGAGCCUUGAUGUGUAGGAUAGGUGGGAGGCUUUGAAGUGUGGACGCCAGUCUGCAUGGAGCCGACCUUGAAAUACCACCCUUUAAUGUUUGAUGUUCUAACGUGGACCCGUAAUCCGGGUUGCGGACAGUGUCUGGUGGGUAGUUUGACUGGGGCGGUCUCCUCCUAAAGAGUAACGGAGGAGCACGAAGGUUGGCUAAUCCUGGUCGGACAUCAGGAGGUUAGUGCAAUGGCAUAAGCCAGCUUGACUGCGAGCGUGACGGCGCGAGCAGGUGCGAAAGCAGGUCAUAGUGAUCCGGUGGUUCUGAAUGGAAGGGCCAUCGCUCAACGGAUAAAAGGUACUCCGGGGAUAACAGGCUGAUACCGCCCAAGAGUUCAUAUCGACGGCGGUGUUUGGCACCUCGAUGUCGGCUCAUCACAUCCUGGGGCUGAAGUAGGUCCCAAGGGUAUGGCUGUUCGCCAUUUAAAGUGGUACGCGAGCUGGGUUUAGAACGUCGUGAGACAGUUCGGUCCCUAUCUGCCGUGGGCGCUGGAGAACUGAGGGGGGCUGCUCCUAGUACGAGAGGACCGGAGUGGACGCAUCACUGGUGUUCGGGUUGUCAUGCCAAUGGCACUGCCCGGUAGCUAAAUGCGGAAGAGAUAAGUGCUGAAAGCAUCUAAGCACGAAACUUGCCCCGAGAUGAGUUCUCCCUGAGACUUAGAGUCUCCUGAAGGAACGUUGAAAACGACGACGUUGAUAGGCCGGGUGUGUAAGCGCAGCGAUGCGUUGAGCUAACCGGUACUAAUGAACCGUGAGGCUUAACCUUACAACGCCGAAG